Vicugna pacos (alpaca) is the source of this 384-nucleotide non-coding RNA. Lineage: Eukaryota; Metazoa; Chordata; Mammalia; Artiodactyla; Camelidae. The record is from RefSeq and is a predicted model, not a curated record.
UCUGUGCUUCUGAUGUGGGUUCCCAGAGGAGCGACGCUUUCCAGCGCGGGCAUGGUCGGCAUGGCCACGUCAGCCCUCAGGCGGUGCUGGGCGGACGAGUGACCGAGGGGAGGACCCCCGAGCCUGGCGAGGACCGUUUCAGAAGUGAUGCUGUGCGCUUCUCCAUGCGAGCUGCCUGGAGGUGCACGGCGUCUGCUUUCCCGUGCUGGUGGUAGCGAUGUUCACCCCACAGAAGUUGCUCUGGAUUUGGGCGGUGGGAGCCCCUUCACGCUGCUUCCUGCCGUUUGACACCCCCCCCCCCCCCCCCCCCCCCCCCCGUCAGUCUCUGCGUGCUUCCUCACCUCCUGCCGACCUGAGGCAUUCCAUUUGGAGCAUUCCUGCUCC